CCAACUUGGUAGUGAUCCUGUGUGGUACAUGCAAGAAUUUAAGCCACUGUGGAGGCAGAUGUCACUUUUGAGGAGAUAAAUAUGUAAGUGCCCAAGAAGCAUAAGGUCAAAGUCACUCUGUAAGGAAAAAAAGUGAGGAGGUUAUCCAGUCCAUGCUGUUCCUAGUGGUUAAUUGCCCUUUACCACACACUUUAUGCUGUUAUCCUCAGAUUUUAUUCCUGGAUAUCAUAGCUGGACCCGAUCAUACAAUGAAGCUCUCAGUAAUUUUUCCAGUGUUUGUUGUCUGCUCACCCAAUACUUGUAGUGAUAUAAACGGGUUUUUUUCCAAUCUUAAGUCAUCAUGUGAGAAUUAUGCAUGCUUCAUUUUUGAAGGCUUUGCAAUGUAGUCCAGUCAUGUUUUAGCUCCAGGAGAUUAUACAUUUCUGACUACUAAGGCACAGGACAUCCACAAUUUUCACCAGGUACUUCAAGCAUUGAAUACUAUGCAAAACUGUAUGAAAUAUUUACAGAUUAGUCUUUUUUGUUUGUUUGGUUUGUGGUUUUUGUCCACCCUGAAAUUAGCUAAAACCUUACACCUCUGAAACAGAAAUCUCUUUUGGAUAGUGUGAAUCUUUUUUAUAUGCCAUUUAGAUACAUGUUUCCUCUUCAGUAGUUUCCUGGAAGGACAAGUGUGGCUGAAUGCUUCUGUCAGAUUUCCAAGUUGGUCAGUGUUUUGAGGGGGGUCUUCUUGCACAUUUGAAAUGCUGAGCUUCAGAAAUAUAAAAAGGCUUUUUGGAAAUUUACAACUGUACUUUCCAAAACCUUGGAUUUCAUAGACUAAGUAAGAAUUUGUAAGCAUUAGAAGAACAUUUUAAGAGCAGAAAGAGACAGAACAAAAAUAUAGAAAUUUUUUAGAAAAAUCUGUAUUCUUCCUCCAGUGGCCUUUCAGGUCAAGUACUUUCCUUCAGAUUGCUCUUGGUACAAGAUCUGCUUUUGGAUUUUUGGGGCCUCAAAUAAUUCAUCCAGUGACCUCUGACUCUCCAAGGAAAAUAUUGGCUGGCAUUAUAUCUGAGAACUCCUUGUUCCUACUACCCACAAACAUUUUCUUCCAUGGAGAUGUUCUUUCUCAUUCCAGAGAUUCUAAUGUGUUAACCAUGAAAACACCAAGAGACAGUAAUGUUUUAAAAAAAACAUAACCAAUAUAUCAAGCAAUAAAAUUAUGAACUAGGCAUAAAUGUGCA
RNAcentral lists this long non-coding RNA (1220 nucleotides) under Parus major (Great Tit). RNAcentral describes it as "lncRNA (ENSPMJG00000013724.1)". Lineage: Eukaryota; Metazoa; Chordata; Aves; Passeriformes; Paridae. The record is from RNAcentral.